Long non-coding RNA from Musca domestica (house fly), 3947 nucleotides. RefSeq lists it as uncharacterized. NCBI's taxonomy places the organism in Eukaryota, Metazoa, Arthropoda, Insecta, Diptera, Muscidae. The transcript has 3 exons. The record is from RefSeq and is a predicted model, not a curated record.
AACAGAAACUUGGUUAUAUAAAGUAGUAUAACAUUUCUUAACACAUCAACACACAGAACACCAGUCCAGAGUGUGGCACAGGCCCACAUGACACGUUGUACCUCAUCGACUGCCCAGCCAAAUCUACUCACCUAACUCCGGUAUCGCUAUGGACUCAAGCAAUACAGGUCGCCUCCUUUUUGAACUUGGAGUUGGAAGCAGAGCCAGAUUAAAGAAGAAAAGCUAACAUAGCAGUACGAGCUGCAACAACAAAUUAUUACACGAAGUAAUUUUUCAGUUGAGUUGAUAAAUAUUAAACCAAACCAAAAAAGAAAGGAUUAACAUUUUCACCAGGAUAAAUUUUUAAAUUGAAAUUUACAAAUAUGAAUUUAAAUUCACGAUCCAAUUCCAAUUUCCCAGCAUUUUGGGCGAAAAAUCCCAAAAUUAUCUAAUUUUUAUUCCCCUACUUGCAAAUAUUUCUCUCAAAAUUUUUGUCAUCUUUCGUAAUUGUUGUUGUUGUGGGUUUUGCUGCCGCCACAAAUUGCUGCUCAGCAAAAUGGGUUGUUUGGGUGGUUUGUUUGGCUCAGCAACUAUCAGUCUCUAAUCCGUACUUUUAGUGUGGAAAUUGUCUUUGUUUUCUUAACUAUCAAACAUCACGCUGUGUUCAGCUGCUUGGUUGUAAAGUCCAAUGGAAAUCAAAAUAAAAUGCAAUAUAUUUUACAAAAAGAUAAGAUGUGCUACGCCACGUAAACGUCUGAUGAUCGAUGCUGCAUUCUGCAGCUGCAGCAGCAGGAAUCAAGGGGACCAAUAAAAUAGUCACAACAAUAACAUAUUCAAAUUAUGAUUUUGUUUUCGUCAGAAAUCUACACGCCAAUUCAUUCUCCAUAUUGUUAUACUUGUUGUCUCUCACACUUUCCACUUUAAUUUGGUUGGUAAGCGGUUAGAUGCGGAAUUUUACAAAUCACUCAAUUAUAAGAACUGAUAUUGUUUGUUCCCUGCUGUACCAGAGGACCACCAAAUGUGUUGUAGAUAACGCCAGUCAAAAGUUCACACUGACACUGAAAUUGUCUUUUCAUCGGAAUCCACAUGUUAACCCCAUCACAUCUUGAGGUAUUGCACAGCAACCUUUUGUGUGAUGCGAAUCGAAUGGUCAUAAUUCAUCAUUCGCAGUGAUAUUUAUUGCAUACUACUACCAGUUUAUGACUUUGUUUGACAGGCGCCAUAAAAUGCAUAUCUAGUUUUUGUUAUUUCAAAGUCGGGAAGCUCGCUGCCGCAUGCAAAGACCUAGAGAAGCUAACAGGCUAUUCAUUCCUUAAUUGAAUUAGAGGUCAAUUAAAUCAAGGUAGAGUGUGUGUGGCAAGAAAAACCUCAGCUUAAUCUUUAGAUAUUCUUAAAGUAACAAAGCAAAUUUUAUUUCUGGUGGGUGGCAUAAAUGUUGAAAACCAAAUGCAUUUUUGAAUACUUUUUUUAAAUACAGUUUUUAUUGACAAUGAUCAUAUUGUUGCUGACGAUAUAUGCAAGAUAGUAAUAUUUCAAAAAUAUUGUUUUUAACAUUAUUUAGUAGCAGAGUAUGAUUUGAUUAAUGGGCUGAAAAAUGCCAAAAGCUAGAGAUAUUUUUGGAAAUUUCUUUUUUAGGUUGAGGUAUUAAUGACCUAAGGAGAAGGCACUGAAAAUUGGAAUCUAGCAAAAUUCCAUGCAUUUAACCAGUCAGGGGGCUCAUCAGGCAUAUUACAUGCUACUUUAGUGGCUAGACGAAGGCCAAUUUUGGUGAGUUUCAUUUUGGUGUAAAUCGUUGGAUAAAUGCAUACGCGAAUUAAAGUGAAACAAGUCAGUCUAUAGUCUGACUGUAGAAAUUUCAGUACUCAACAUUUACAAUGGUAGGUUUUUAUACCCUCCACGUCAUUCCGUUUGUAACUCAUCGAAAUAAUAAUUUUAGACCCAACAAAGUAUAUAUAUUCUUGAUCAGCGUACAAUUCUAAGACUACUUAGCGCUGUCCGUCCGUCAGUUGUAAUCAUGCUAGAGUCAAAACGAAUUAAGAUAGAAAGCUAAAAUUUUGCGCAGAUCAGUCUUUUAUAUAAGAUUAGAUCGAAGAUGAACUAUAUCGGUCCACGAUUUCGUAUGGCCCCCAUAUAACGGUACCCCCCGAUAUUUUGAUGAUUUUAGGCACAUUUUGCAAUGCAAUUGUCUGAAAAUCCACACAAGGAGUUCCUGCUGAGCACUUUACCCCCUGUAAGAGAAUGGUCUAUAUAGAUACACCAUAUCGUAUAGCCUCCAUAUAACGGCACCCCUCGAUAUUCGGUAUUUUGAUGAUUGUGGCCAAAUUUUUCAAUGGAAUUGUCUGAAAUUCUAGACAAGGGGUUCUUUGUGGAAUUGUCUUAAAAUCCAGACAAGAGGUUCCUUGUGAGUACUUUAUAGUCUGCGGAGAUGACAACAGAGCUGAAUGUGCAGAUCGAGGGAAAUAUAAUUCCGACCACAAACUACCCCAAGAUUCUAGGGGUCACAUUCGACAAUAUGUUCAAGUGGUCAGCUAUGCGGUUCCAGUGUGGUUUGCGAAAAUAAGUGCUACGCAGUAGAAGAAUAUCCGGACCCUGAGGACUGCGACAGGGUGCUUCCCUAUAACACCAGUGGACCAUAUACAUAAGAAGGCGAAAGUCCUUCGAGUACGUCAGUAUGACCAUAUGCUUUCGUUGCAGAACGUUCUUGGGUAUUAUCGUAUGAGUCAUCCAAACCAUCAUGUCAGGAAGGAAAUACAUGAUCUAGAGAGGGAGUUCCAUGCUACAAGAAAGAGCCUCUACAUAAAGAAAUCUAUCAGGUAGGUCUGAGUGGCAUUCAUACUGAUGGAAUUACAGACCCCAUCAACAAUUAGAGUAUGACUACCGUGCUCGGAGUCCACCACCCCACAUUCAUUGCAUCCGAAAAACGCGCCCAGACAAACCAGGGUAGUUUUGGCACAAUUUCGUUCUGGAUGGUGCAGUCGUCUCAAUUAGUAUUGGGCACGAAUUGACGAAGAUGUGGGAAACAUCCGCCUGGCGUAUGAUACAGGGCUGAAUAAUACGCUGCACCUCUUUAAUUGACCUAUCCCACUCACUCCAGAAGAUCUAUGGUUACAGCCCGUGGAAGUAACCACAUUUUUUAAUCUGUCUGAGUUAGAAGCGGACUAGCAGAAAUUAAACAAAACAUCUGAAGCUGUUAGAACAACAACUUAUUUUUCGCAUUCUUGUUUCAAGAACAUCCAUUUUGGACUACAAAAAAUGGUAAGCGAGUCUGAGCCUCAAAGCUGUAUUUAUUUUCUUAGGCAACGACGAAUAAAAUCUAAUUAUGAGCUGAAACGUAUAAAAUUCGGGCCUUCCUAAUAGCUGCUCUGUUCCAGUACCUGCAAGAAUCAACUAGUUUUGCAAUUUUCUUCGAUAUCAAAAAGGGAAAAUCGGUUAUUGUAGUAAAAACUUUUACAUUCUUGCAGUUCAGGAACCGUAAAACGAAAAAAAAUAUUUUUUCUAUGAAUUGAUGUUAUAAGAGUGGGGGUUGUCACGAGUUCCUAAGGUUGUAUUUAAAAUUAUUUAUAAAAGUAUGGAAAAUCACUUGAAAGAGCCGUACAAAGUUACAAAAUAAUGUAUCAUCCAAAGAAAACUUGGAGCCUUAUAAACCCACCGACCAAAAUAAAAAAAGUCACUUGGGAGGGUGGAGGCUUUUCCUACGGACGAAAUAUUAACAUUUCCAUAUAAAUAUGCAUUUGAUGUAAACUAAUCCCUUUAAUUUCUAAGAACACUGCGUCGCUAAGCAGACAUCACGUGCGACAAUUGUUGUUGAGAAUGUCGUAGUGAUAAGAAGAUUUCAUCAGAUUAAUUCCAUUGCAUUUUCUUUGGAAUACAUUGAACCCCCCGUUCAAAGGUCUUACACAAACCUUGACUCAAUCGAUUGGUAGUUAGAAAUGGGUUAAGUGCAAUAAUUAUUAAAACACAAAAUUCUU